GAUGAACGCUGGCGGCGUGCCUAAUACAUGCAAGUCGAGCGAAUGGAUUGAGAGCUUGCUCUUAUGAAGUUAGCGGCGGACGGGUGAGUAACACGUGGGUAACCUGCCCAUAAGACUGGGAUAACUCCGGGAAACCGGGGCUAAUACCGGAUAACAUUUUGAACCGCAUGGUUCGAAAUUGAAAGGCGGCUUCGGCUGUCACUUAUGGAUGUACCCGCGUCGCAUUAGCUAGUUGGUGAGGUAACGGCUCACCAAGGCAACGAUGCGUAGCCGACCUGAGAGGGUGAUCGGCCACACUGGGACUGAGACACGGCCCAGACUCCUACGGGAGGCAGCAGUAGGGAAUCUUCCGCAAUGGACGAAAGUCUGACGGAGCAACGCCGCGUGAGUGAUGAAGGCUUUCGGGUCGUAAAACUCUGUUGUUAGGGAAGAACAAGUGCUAGUUGAAUAAGCUGACACCUUGACGGUACCUAACCAGAAAGCAACGGCUAACUACGUGCCAGCCGCCGCAGUAA
This 515-nucleotide ribosomal RNA is filed under the name uncultured bacterium. RNAcentral's name for it is "partial 16S ribosomal RNA". It matches the Rfam family "Bacterial small subunit ribosomal RNA", at positions 28 to 523 of the family's 1533-position model. The record is from RNAcentral.